This 1378-nucleotide long non-coding RNA is filed under the name Strigops habroptila (Kakapo). RNAcentral describes it as "lncRNA (ENSSHBG00005013928.1)". Lineage: Eukaryota; Metazoa; Chordata; Aves; Psittaciformes; Psittacidae. The record is from RNAcentral.
UUAUAUUUUCAAUGCCUGGUAAAAGUUUUCAGUUUGAAAGGGGCUGAUUGAUUGUACAAAGAUUGUCCAUACAAAGUUCAAAAAUUUGCAUGUAAAGCCAUGUUUGAUCAGUAAUGCAAAUAAAAUAUACAAAGAAGGUGAGUUUUAAGCCCAAAAUUCUUUUGAUCUUUGAAGUCCCAUUGCUUUAAAAGUAUAACUGCCUUCUGCAUCACAACCCAGCAUGUACAUCUAUAUGCCUAUAUGUAUAUGUAUACAUAUAAAAUAAAACUUCUGUGUACAAAAUAGUCAGUAGCUAAUGGCAAGACUAUAGUUUUCUUUAAACACACUCUGUUCAUGUGUGAAGAUGAGUCCAAAUCUUGUCCCAUUGAAGAAAAAAUGAAUUUAAACACAAACAGGACCUGGCUGAAUUUAUUUAGACUAAGGAAGACUUUGCAGCACAUGCAAGGCACAAUCAAGCCCUAAAAAUAAAUGGCAUGCAGUAGGACAUGGGACAGAGUGACUCUUAAGAGCACUUACAGGUACACUGUGAAGGCAAAAUAGUUCCUCAGAAAUGCAAAUCCCACCCAGGCACAGCAAGCCAGUGCAAGGUCCAAACAAUGUAUACAGCCCCUCUUAAACAGCGGAUAUGAUGAUAUUUUCCUAGGAGGAAAUUUCACACCAUUUUGGGUGCCCAAGAGGAGAUGCUCAAAGAAGGAGCUGUUAUGCAAGGCAGGAGGAAACCCCCAUGCUUUCUGAAAAUCAAGACCUCUGUAUCACUUCAUAUGGCACAUCCAGAACCAGAGCUGUCCUCUCAGUGCCAUGGUUGAGAGCUGCCGCUGUGCUGGGCUGUUGUGUCGUUCAUGCUGGGUGGUUUACUGCAAUGUUUGCCUUUGGAGAUCUCUCUAUCAGCAUCACUAGAUAUUUGUCUCUAAAGGCAGGAGCUUUAAAGGGCAGCAAGAGGACACUCCUUCCAGUUGAGCCAUCUGGUAAUAUGUGAAGUUUUUGGCUGUGUGAUACAACACUAUGGAGCUGGAUCACAAAGGGUACUGGUGGAGAGCAUUAUGCUCAGCACGGAAGACUGUGCUGUAUGGAAAAUGGAGGAUUGCUUCUUUCAACCCAAAACCCCUCUCUCUGAGGGUCAGUGACAUAGCUGCCAUCUGAAAAAGUGCCGUGUGUCUUAGGGUUUGCUUAAGGCUGAACCAUGCAAAACCAGUGUUCACCUCCACCUUUGAAGCGGGAUGUGUUAGAAAAGUCCUCUCUCUGCAGCACUGGCACAGAGAGCAGAGAAGGCCCAUAGGCUUACAGGUGAAUCCUGCCCUCUGCCAUGCCUCUAAUGCUGCUCAAAUGUGCAGCAGCUUGAGAAGUACUGUGAUGUAGCAAGUAGCUUCUCAUAGGCAUG